AUGCAUCCGACAGCUAUGAACGAUUCGUUUGCACGGCAAACAUUCAUUAAAUCCUAAUAAACGUGACAGAAAAUUAAUCCUUCGCCGGCAAUAUGAGUUUUAAUUUUUCUGCACUAAGAAAAAAAUUUGAUUAAAGUAAUGAUAUAUUUUCUAUAAUUAAUACACAUCUUUUUGGUAUAUAUAAUUUGAAGAAACAUACUAUCUAUUUUAUUCUUUAUGAAUAAAUUGUUAAUUAUUCAGCAAGAAAUGAUUGACAAUUAAUUGAUGAAUCGACAUCAAAUUGAAAUCAUAUCGAAAUUAUAUCGAUUCGACAUCAAAUCAAUGACUCUUUUCUCACUGGAUAAUAUUUACUUUUUAAAAAUAAAAUUUUUUUUCAAAAA
RNAcentral lists this small RNA (380 nucleotides) under Atta cephalotes. Its description in RNAcentral is "sRNA LOC105623441". Lineage: Eukaryota; Metazoa; Arthropoda; Insecta; Hymenoptera; Formicidae. The record is from RNAcentral.